UACUCGAGUGGCGAACGGGUGAGUAACACGUGGGUGAUCUGCCCUGCACUUCGGGAUAAGCUUGGGAAACUGGGUCUAAUACCGGAUAGGAGCCAUCUUUAGUGUGGUGGUUGGAAAGUUUUUUCGGUGUAGGAUGAGCUCGCGGCCUAUCAGCUUGUUGGUGGGGUAAUGGCCUACCAAGGCGGCGACGGGUAGCCGGCCUGAGAGGGUGUACGGCCACAUUGGGAUUGAGAUACGGCCCAG
This 243-nucleotide ribosomal RNA is filed under the name uncultured Actinomycetales bacterium. RNAcentral describes it as "partial 16S ribosomal RNA". It matches the Rfam family "Bacterial small subunit ribosomal RNA", at positions 88 to 334 of the family's 1533-position model. Lineage: Bacteria; Bacillati; Actinomycetota; Actinomycetes; Actinomycetales. The record is from RNAcentral.